Long non-coding RNA from Trifolium pratense (red clover), 746 nucleotides. RefSeq lists it as uncharacterized. NCBI's taxonomy places the organism in Eukaryota, Viridiplantae, Streptophyta, Magnoliopsida, Fabales, Fabaceae. The record is from RefSeq and is a predicted model, not a curated record. The transcript is spliced from 2 exons.
UGUAUUUUUUUCCUCUACUAUUUAGUUUACACUAUAGUGAUCUAUAUAUAUAUAUAUAUACACCAACAUUCACUUGAAAACAUCUAUUAUUCUAUUCUAUCUCCUUUGGAAAUUGAAGAGCUUCAAAGAAGUGGCAAAGAUGAGAGCAAAUAGCACUAUGAACCCAACAACUACAAAUGCAACAAUCAUCACUAUAACCAAAGUAUCUUCUAUGCACAACAUUAGCUAAAAUUCUCCUUCCAAUGGGGUCCUAGAGCUCAAUGUGGAUGUUCACUAUUUAGGUGAUGGCCGUUGGGUAUUAGGAUUACUGUCACGACAAGAGGAUGGAGGAUGUGUUGGUGUUGUAACGAAGGAGGUUCAAGGCUCAGAGGAUGCUAGUGGGGCUCUGGGAAGCACUAGAUUGGAUUGAGAGAGGCAGAAUGGAGCGAGUGGUGGUGGAGAUGGACGCCUAGGUCAUCGUGAGUGCGUGUUAUGAAUUUAUCGGAGUUAUUGGGGAAUUUGUUUCGGUGGUGUUAAGGGAAGAUGGAGACCUUUCAUCAAGAUGGAGGCUGCAUGAAUUUGUUUUUUUGAUGAAUCUUAUUAUCAUUUAUUUCAAUUAAAUGUCUUAGUCAGAAGGGAAAAAAAAAACAAAAAAUCAAUAAACAAAUUGAUGCAUGAAUCCAUCCAAAUGCAUGAAUCUUUUUCGGUGGCUUGACCAUCUUGAACAUUUAUCACACAAAAAAUUUAUUAUUUUCAAAUUUUUAUAC